Molecule: transfer RNA, 73 nt
Filed under: Candidatus Opitulatrix cubana
Lineage: Bacteria; Bacillati; Actinomycetota; Actinomycetes; Bifidobacteriales; Bifidobacteriaceae
Description: tRNA-Glu
Rfam family: tRNA
About the family: Transfer RNA (tRNA) molecules are approximately 80 nucleotides in length. Their secondary structure includes four short double-helical elements and three loops (D, anti-codon, and T loops).
Source: RNAcentral
GCUCCCAUCGUCUAGCGGCCUAGGACGCCGGCUUCUCAUGCCGGUAACACGGGUUCAAAUCCCGUUGGGAGUA